UGGGGAAUUUUGCGCAAUGGGGGAAACCCUGACGCAGCAACGCCGCGUGGAGGAUGAAGUCCUUCGGGACGUAAACUCCUUUCGAUCGGGACGAUAAUGACGGUACCGGAAGAAGAAGCCCCGGCUAACUUCGUGCCAGCAGCCGCGGUAAUCCGAGGGGGGCGAGCGUUGUUCGGAAUUAUUGGGCGUAAAGGGUGCGUAGGCGGUUUGGUAAGUCUUAUGUGAAAUCUAUGGGCUCAACUCAUAGACUGCAUGAGAAACUGCCGGGCUUGAGUAUGGGAGAGGUGAGUGGAAUUCCUGGUGUAGCGGUGAAAUGCGUAGAUAUCAGGAGGAACACCUGUGGCGAAAGCGGCUCACUGGACCAUAACUGACGCUGAUGCACGAAAGCUAGGGGAGCAAAC
This 401-nucleotide ribosomal RNA is filed under the name uncultured bacterium. RNAcentral describes it as "bacterial SSU rRNA". It matches the Rfam family "Bacterial small subunit ribosomal RNA", at positions 355 to 773 of the family's 1533-position model. The record is from RNAcentral.